CCACCCUUAGCUCAAUGGUAGAGCAUUCGCCUUAUACGCGAAACGUUCCUGGUUCGAGUCCAGGAGGGUGGA
RNAcentral lists this transfer RNA (72 nucleotides) under bacterium. RNAcentral's name for it is "tRNA-Ile". It matches the Rfam family "tRNA". From Rfam's summary of the family: Transfer RNA (tRNA) molecules are approximately 80 nucleotides in length. Their secondary structure includes four short double-helical elements and three loops (D, anti-codon, and T loops). The record is from RNAcentral.